RNAcentral lists this transfer RNA (69 nucleotides) under Trigonopteryx hopei. Its description in RNAcentral is "tRNA-Met". The record is from RNAcentral. Lineage: Eukaryota; Metazoa; Arthropoda; Insecta; Orthoptera; Trigonopterygidae.
AAAAAGAUAAGCUAAAUAAUAAGCUAAUAGGUUCAUACCCUAUUUAUAGAGUUGAUACUCUUCUUUUUA